GAGUUUGAUCCUGGCUCAGAUUGAACGCUGGCGGCAUGCCUUACACAUGCAAGUCGAACGGCAGCAUGAUCUAGCUUGCUAGAUUGAUGGCGAGUGGCGAACGGGUGAGUAAUACAUCGGAACGUGCCCUGUAGUGGGGGAUAACUAGUCGAAAGAUUAGCUAAUACCGCAUACGACCUGAGGGUGAAAGUGGGGGACCGCAAGGCCUCAUGCUAUAGGAGCGGCCGAUGUCUGAUUAGCUAGUUGGUGGGGUAAAGGCCCACCAAGGCGACGAUCAGUAGCUGGUCUGAGAGGACGAUCAGCCACACUGGGACUGAGACACGGCCCAGACUCCUACGGGAGGCAGCAGUGGGGAAUUUUGGACAAUGGGCGAAAGCCUGAUCCAGCAAUGCCGCGUGUGUGAAGAAGGCCUCCGGGUUGUAAAGCACUUUUGUCCGGAAAGAAAUGGCUCUGGUUAAUACCUGGGGUCGAUGACGGUACCGGAAGAAUAAGGACCGGCUAACUACGUG
Molecule: ribosomal RNA, 509 nt
Filed under: uncultured microorganism
Description: bacterial SSU rRNA
Rfam family: Bacterial small subunit ribosomal RNA
Source: RNAcentral